GCUUAUCCAAUAAACCAAUUGAACUUGAUCCAAUCAAGCCCAAACCAAAUCUAAUUAAAUCAUAUUCAAUUAGACUUAAUCUCAGCCCAUUGGCUUAAUCAAAUUAAGCCAAUUAGCAAUAGAAUUGCUAAUCAUUUUUCCUGCAACACUUGCACUAGGUUAAAUGUCAAUCGUAUUGAUCAUUUAACCCUAGAAUGAUUCUUAAUCGUUGAACAACCAUUCGAUUGGAUCAUGAAC
RNAcentral lists this long non-coding RNA (237 nucleotides) under Elaeis guineensis (African oil palm). RNAcentral describes it as "long non-coding RNA (EGUI_LNC067891)". The record is from RNAcentral. Lineage: Eukaryota; Viridiplantae; Streptophyta; Magnoliopsida; Arecales; Arecaceae.